GAUGAGCCAGAAUUGGCACCUUGUCUAUAAAUAAGGUGCAAAAUGAUUUUAACUGAAGAGUUUGAUCAUGGCUCAGAUUGAACGCUGGCGGCAGGCUUAACACAUGCAAGUCGAGCGGGGGAAGGUAGCUUGCUACCGGACCUAGCGGCGGACGGG
This 156-nucleotide ribosomal RNA is filed under the name Acinetobacter baumannii. Its description in RNAcentral is "partial 16S ribosomal RNA". The stretch from base 50 to 156 matches the Rfam family "Bacterial small subunit ribosomal RNA", at positions 1 to 106 of the family's 1533-position model. The record is from RNAcentral. Lineage: Bacteria; Pseudomonadati; Pseudomonadota; Gammaproteobacteria; Moraxellales; Moraxellaceae.